RNAcentral lists this ribosomal RNA (673 nucleotides) under uncultured Vibrionaceae bacterium. Its description in RNAcentral is "bacterial SSU rRNA". It matches the Rfam family "Bacterial small subunit ribosomal RNA", at positions 1 to 671 of the family's 1533-position model. Lineage: Bacteria; Pseudomonadati; Pseudomonadota; Gammaproteobacteria; Vibrionales; Vibrionaceae. The record is from RNAcentral.
UAGAGUUUGAUCCUGGCUCAGAUUGAACGCUGGCGGCAGGCCUAAUACAUGCAAGUCGAGCGGAAACGAUGGGAGCUUGCUCCCAGGCGUCGAGCGGCGGACGGGUGAGUAACGCGUAGGAAUUUGCCCAAUAGAGGGGGAUAGCCCGAGGAAACUCGGAUUAAUACCGCAUACGCCCUACGGGGGAAAGGCUGGGAUCUUCGGACCAGCCACUAUUGGAGAAGCCUGCGUAAGAUUAGCUUGUUGGUGGGGUAAAGGCCUACCAAGGCGACGAUCUUUAGCUGGUCUGAGAGGAUGAUCAGCCACACUGGAACUGAGACACGGUCCAGACUCCUACGGGAGGCAGCAGUGGGGAAUAUUGCACAAUGGGCGAAAGUCUGAUGCAGCCAUGCCGCGUGUAUGAAGAAGGCCUUCGGGUUGUAAAGUACUUUCAGUUGUGAGGAAGGGUGUGUAGUUAAUAGCUGCGCAUCUUGACGUUAGCAACAGAAGAAGCACCGGCUAACUCCGUGCCAGCAGCCGCGGUAAUACGGAGGGUGCGAGCGUUAAUCGGAAUUACUGGGCGUAAAGCGCAUGCAGGUGGUUCAUUAAGUCAGAUGUGAAAGCCCGGGGCUCAACCUCGGAACUGCAUUUGAAACUGGUGAACUAGAGUGCUGUAGAGGGGGGUAGAAUUUCA